UAUCCGUAGGUGAACCUGCGGAGGGAUCAUUACAGAGUUCUCGCCCUCACGGGUAGAUCUCCCACCCAAUGCUAUCGUUACCACUGUUUCUUUGGCGGGCCGCCGGGCCCUGCUCGGCCGCCGGCUCCGGCUGGCGCGGGCCCGCCAGAGGCCCUUUAAACCCUGAAUGUCAGUGUCGUCUGAGUACUAUACAAUAGUUAAAACUUUCAACAACGGAUCUCUUGGUUCUG
Molecule: unclassified non-coding RNA, 230 nt
Filed under: plant metagenome
Description: partial contains small subunit ribosomal RNA, internal transcribed spacer 1, and 5.8S ribosomal RNA
Source: RNAcentral